RNAcentral lists this ribosomal RNA (601 nucleotides) under Microbacterium sp. RNAcentral describes it as "bacterial SSU rRNA". It matches the Rfam family "Bacterial small subunit ribosomal RNA", at positions 137 to 752 of the family's 1533-position model. Lineage: Bacteria; Bacillati; Actinomycetota; Actinomycetes; Micrococcales; Microbacteriaceae. The record is from RNAcentral.
UCUGGGAUAAGCGCUGGAAACGGCGUCUAAUACCGGAUACGAGCUGCGACCGCAUGGUCAGUAGCUGGAAAGAAUUUCGGUCAGGGAUGAGCUCGCGGCCUAUCAGCUUGUUGGUGAGGUAAUGGCUCACCAAGGCGUCGACGGGUAGCCGGCCUGAGAGGGUGACCGGCCACACUGGGACUGAGACACGGCCCAGACUCCUACGGGAGGCAGCAGUGGGGAAUAUUGCACAAUGGGCGCAAGCCUGAUGCAGCAACGCCGCGUGAGGGAUGACGGCCUUCGGGUUGUAAACCUCUUUUAGCAGGGAAGAAGCGAAAGUGACGGUACCUGCAGAAAAAGCGCCGGCUAACUACGUGCCAGCAGCCGCGGUAAUACGUAGGGCGCAAGCGUUAUCCGGAAUUAUUGGGCGUAAAGAGCUCGUAGGCGGUCUGUCGCGUCUGCUGUGAAAACCCGAGGCUCAACCUCGGGCCUGCAGUGGGUACGGGCAGACUAGAGUGCGGUAGGGGAGAUUGGAAUUCCUGGUGUAGCGGUGGAAUGCGCAGAUAUCAGGAGGAACACCGAUGGCGAAGGCAGAUCUCUGGGCCGUAACUGACGCUGAGGA